Molecule: microRNA precursor, 103 nt
Filed under: Marmota monax (woodchuck)
Lineage: Eukaryota; Metazoa; Chordata; Mammalia; Rodentia; Sciuridae
Source: RNAcentral
AGUGGGAUAGCUGGGUCAAAUGCUGGUUCCACUCCAAGUUUUCCAAGAAAUCUCCAUACUGCUUUCCAGAUUGGCUGUGUCAAUUUGCAGUCCCAUCAGCAAU